GUCUGGUGCCAGCAGCCGCGGUAAUUCCAGCUCCAAUAGCGUAUAUUAAAGUUGUUGCAGUUAAAAAGCUCGUAGUUGAACCUUGGGCCUGGCUGGCCGGUCCGCCUCACCGCGUGCACUGGUCCGGCCGGGUCUUUCCUUCUGGGGAGCCGCAUGCCCUUCACUGGGUGUGUCGGGGAACCAGGACUUUUACUUUGAAAAAAUUAGAGUGUUCAAAGCAGGCCUAUGCUCGAAUACAUUAGCAUGGAAUAAUAGAAUAGGACGUGUGGUUCUAUUUUGUUGGUUUCUAGGACCGCCGUAAUGAUUAAUAGGGAUAGUCGGGGGCAUCAGUAUUCAAUUGUCAGAGGUGAAAUUCUUGGAUUUAUUGAAGACUAACUACUGCGAAAGCAUUUGCCAAGGAUGUUUUCAUUAAUCAGUGAACGAAAGUUAGGGGAUCGAAGACGAUCAGAUACCGUCGUAGUCUUAACCAUAAACUAUGCCGACUAGGGAUCGGGCGAUGUUAUCUUUUUGACUCGCUCGGCACCUCACGAGAAAUCAAAGUCUUUGGGUUCUGGGG
Molecule: ribosomal RNA, 556 nt
Filed under: Stromatinia rapulum
Lineage: Eukaryota; Fungi; Ascomycota; Leotiomycetes; Helotiales; Sclerotiniaceae
Description: SSU rRNA
Rfam family: Eukaryotic small subunit ribosomal RNA
Source: RNAcentral